Molecule: long non-coding RNA, 356 nt
Organism: Girardinichthys multiradiatus
Lineage: Eukaryota; Metazoa; Chordata; Actinopteri; Cyprinodontiformes; Goodeidae
Exons: 3
Source: RefSeq, a predicted model, not a curated record
CCUGGAUUCUGCUGAUGAGAGCAGCUGGCAUUUAAGGUCCUGGAAUUGAUCCAUUCCUCGCCGGAUUAUUCAGUGACACAGGACACUUAUUGGAGUGUGGAACUCGUCUUUUGCUGGAGCUUAAGGACUCGUGUAUUUGGAUUUCUCUCCUGGAAACUCUCACCUGGAAACCAACCAUCCUCUGUCCUGCCACUCUCUCUCUCUCCCUCGGACCUGGAACACAAACGGACACCAAAACUUGGAACACUUACCUCCUGGAUUUCCCAUGCCUCCUCCUCCGUGCUGACCUCCCUCCCAAGAGCCUGACGAACGCACCGCUUUGCAUUCACUGUAAAUAAACAUCAUUUAACUUUUCA